GCUAUUAGGUUGGUGCAAAAGUAAUCGCGGUUUUUGCCAUUAAUGAAAUGUAAUUAAUUAAUGAAAUGUAAUUAAUGGCAAAAACCGCGAUUACUUUUGCACCAACCUAAUACUUGCUA
This is a microRNA precursor of Chlorocebus sabaeus (green monkey), 119 nucleotides long. Lineage: Eukaryota; Metazoa; Chordata; Mammalia; Primates; Cercopithecidae. The record is from Ensembl.